Molecule: ribosomal RNA, 430 nt
Filed under: uncultured bacterium
Lineage: Bacteria
Description: bacterial SSU rRNA
Rfam family: Bacterial small subunit ribosomal RNA
Source: RNAcentral
GUGGGGAAUAUUGCACAAUGGGCGAAAGCCUGAUGCAGCAACGCCGCGUGAGGGACGACGGCCUUCGGGUUGUAAAUCUCUUUUAGUAGGGAAGAAGCGAAAGUGACGGUACCUGCAGAAAAAGCACCGGCUAACUACGUGCCAGCAGCCGCGGUAAUACGUAGGGUGCAAGCGUUAUCCGGAAUUAUUGGGCGUAAAGAGCUCGUAGGCGGUCUGUCACGUCUGCUGUGAAAACUGGAGGCUCAACCUCCAGCCUGCAGUGGGUACGGGCAGACUAGAGUUCGGUAGGGGAGAUUGGAAUUCCUGGUGUAGCGGUGGAAUGCGCAGAUAUCAGGAGGAACACCGAUGGCGAAGGCAGAUCUCUGGGCCGUAACUGACGCUGAGGAGCGAAAGCGUGGGGAGCGAACAGGAUUAGAUACCCGGGUAGUCC